UGUGAGUAUUCUUAACUUAUGGCAAUAUAGUUAUUCACAUAAGUACAAUAAGAAUCUGUUUUCAUUUGUAACAGGACACAAUUGGAGAAAGUGAUUAUUGUUCCAAGGUUUUGACUGGAAUGGAGUGCUUCCCUUUAAGGAAUCAAACUUGUAGAGCCAAUAAAAGCCCCUUGGGAAGACAGAACUCAUAACUUGUCUACACAAUCCCUGUGCAGGGUUCCUGGUCUGCCAUGUGAAGUGCUGUCUUCCCUUUGCCUUCCACCAUGAUUGUAAGUUUCCUGAGACCUCCCCAGAAGCCAAGCAGAUGCCAGCAUCACACUUCCUGUAUAGCCAGUGGAACUAUGAGGAAAUGGAGGCACAGAAAGACAAAGUAAUUUGUCCAAAGUCACACAUAUGGUAAAUUGCUGACUUGGAAUUCCAAACCAGGGACCUAUAUUUUCAUUUUGCACUGGGAUCCUCAAAUUACACAGCCAUUCUUGCAUAUUUCCCUUCAGAAGCCAAGGUGAUAAGUACCU
RNAcentral lists this long non-coding RNA (515 nucleotides) under Callithrix jacchus (white-tufted-ear marmoset). RNAcentral describes it as "lncRNA (ENSCJAG00000077439.1)". Lineage: Eukaryota; Metazoa; Chordata; Mammalia; Primates; Cebidae. The record is from RNAcentral.